This 71-nucleotide transfer RNA is filed under the name Agrilus planipennis (emerald ash borer). It matches the Rfam family "tRNA". Rfam says of the family: Transfer RNA (tRNA) molecules are approximately 80 nucleotides in length. Their secondary structure includes four short double-helical elements and three loops (D, anti-codon, and T loops). Lineage: Eukaryota; Metazoa; Arthropoda; Insecta; Coleoptera; Buprestidae. The record is from Rfam by way of RNAcentral.
CUCUUUGUAGUUUAGUGGUAGAGUACUGAUACGUAAAACCAGCGGCUCGGGUUCGAAUCUCGGCGAGGGAG